CAGCCGCCACGGGAACACGUAGGGUGCAAGCGUUAAUCGGAAUUACUGGGCGCAAAGCGUGCGCAGGCGGUUUGUUAAGACAGAUGUGAAAUCCCCGGGCUUAACCUGGGAACUGCAUUUGUGACUGGCGGGCUAGAGUAUGGCAGAGGGGGGUAGAAUUCCACGUGUAGCAGUGAAAUGCGUAGAGAUGUGGAGGAAUACCGAUGGCGAAGGCAGCCCCCUGGGCCAAUACUGACGCCCAUGCACGAAAGCGUGGGGAGCAAACAGGAUUAGAUACCCGGGUAGUCCCUGUCUCUUAUAC
This 301-nucleotide ribosomal RNA is filed under the name uncultured bacterium. RNAcentral's name for it is "partial 16S ribosomal RNA". It matches the Rfam family "Bacterial small subunit ribosomal RNA", at positions 509 to 807 of the family's 1533-position model. The record is from RNAcentral.